This 803-nucleotide ribosomal RNA is filed under the name uncultured bacterium. RNAcentral's name for it is "bacterial SSU rRNA". It matches the Rfam family "Bacterial small subunit ribosomal RNA", at positions 8 to 811 of the family's 1533-position model. The record is from RNAcentral.
AGAGUUUUUUCCUGGCUCAGGAUGAACGCUGGCGGCGUGCUUAACACAUGCAAGUCGAGCGAAGCACUUAAGUUUGAUUCUUCGGAUGAAGACUUUUGUGACUGAGCGGCGGACGGGUGAGUAACGCGUGGGUAACCUGCCUCAUACAGGGGGAUAACAGUUAGAAAUGGCUGCUAAUACCGCAUAAGACCACAGUACUGCAUGGUACAGUGGUAAAAACUCCGGUGGUAUGAGAUGGACCCGCGUCUGAUUAGGUAGUUGGUGAGGUAACGGCCCACCAAGCCGACGAUCAGUAGCCGACCUGAGAGGGUGACCGGCCACAUUUGGACUGAGACACGGCCCAGACUCCUACGGGAGGCAGCAGUGGGGAAUAUUGCACAAUGGGCGAAAGCCUGAUGCAGCGACGCCGCGUGAAGGAUGAAGUAUUUCGGUAUGUAAACUUCUAUCAGCAGGGAAGAAAAUGACGGUACCUGACUAAGAAGCCCCGGCUAACUACGUGCCAGCAGCCGCGGUAAUACGUAGGGGGCAAGCGUUAUCCGGAUUUACUGGGUGUAAAGGGAGCGUAGACGGCUGUGCAAGUCUGAAGUGAAAGGCAUGGGCUCAACCUGUGGACUGCUUUGGAAACUGUGCAGCUAGAGUGUCGGAGAGGUAAGUGGAAUUCCUAGUGUAGCGGUGAAAUGCGUAGAUAUUAGGAGGAACACCAGUGGCGAAGGCGGCUUACUGGACGAUGACUGACGUUGAGGCUCGAAAGCGUGGGGAGCAAACAGGAUUAGAUACCCUGGUAGUCCACGCCGUAAACGAUG